UAGCUCAGUCAGUUGAGUGUGGUGCUGACAACGCCAAGGCCGUGGGUUUGAUUCCCAU
Molecule: transfer RNA, 58 nt
Filed under: Apaloderma vittatum (bar-tailed trogon)
Lineage: Eukaryota; Metazoa; Chordata; Aves; Trogoniformes; Trogonidae
Rfam family: tRNA
About the family: Transfer RNA (tRNA) molecules are approximately 80 nucleotides in length. Their secondary structure includes four short double-helical elements and three loops (D, anti-codon, and T loops).
Source: Rfam by way of RNAcentral